This 77-nucleotide transfer RNA is filed under the name Pseudoleptotrichia goodfellowii F0264. Its description in RNAcentral is "tRNA-Gln". It matches the Rfam family "tRNA". Rfam says of the family: Transfer RNA (tRNA) molecules are approximately 80 nucleotides in length. Their secondary structure includes four short double-helical elements and three loops (D, anti-codon, and T loops). Lineage: Bacteria; Fusobacteriati; Fusobacteriota; Fusobacteriia; Fusobacteriales; Leptotrichiaceae. The record is from RNAcentral.
UUGGGCUGUCGCCAAGCGGUAAGGCACUGGACUUUGACUCCAGCAUGCAAUGGUUCGAAUCCAUUCAGCCCAGCCAC